This 464-nucleotide ribosomal RNA is filed under the name uncultured bacterium. Its description in RNAcentral is "partial 16S ribosomal RNA". It matches the Rfam family "Bacterial small subunit ribosomal RNA", at positions 29 to 507 of the family's 1533-position model. The record is from RNAcentral.
AUGAACGCUGGCGGCGUGCUUAACACCUGCAAGUCGAACGGAAAGGCUCCUGCUUGCAGGGGUACUCGAGUGGCGAACGGGUGAGUAACACGUGGGUGAUCUGCCCUGCACUUCGGGAUAAGCCUGGGAAACUGGGUCUAAUACCGGAUAGGACGAUGGUUUGGAUGCCAUUGUGGAAAGUUUUUCGGUGUGGGAUGAGCUCGCGGCCUAUCAGCUUGUUGGUGGGGUAAUGGCCUACCAAGGCGUCGACGGGUAGCCGGCCUGAGAGGGUGUACGGCCACAUUGGGACUGAGAUACGGCCCAGACUCCUACGGGAGGCAGCAGUGGGGAAUAUUGCACAAUGGGCGCAAGCCUGAUGCAGCGACGCCGCGUGGGGGAUGACGGCCUUCGGGUUGUAAACUCCUUUCGCUAGGGACGAAGCGCAAGUGACGGUACCUGGAGAAGAAGCACCGGCUAACUACGUG